UGGGGAAUAUUGCACAAUGGGGGGAACCCUGAUGCAGCGACGCCGCGUGAGUGAAGAAGUAAUUCGUUACGUAAAGCUCUAUCAGCAGGGAAGAAAAUGACGGUACCUGACUAAGAAGCCCCGGCUAACUACGUGCCAGCAGCCGCGGUAAUACGUAGGGGGCAAGCGUUAUCCGGAUUUACUGGGUGUAAAGGGAGCGUAGACGGCACUGCAAGUCCGGAGUGAAAACCCAUGGCUCAACUGUGGGACUGCUCUGGAAACUGUGGAGCUUGAGUGCGGGAGGGGCAGGCGGAAUUCCUGGUGUAGCGGUGAAAUGCGUAGAUAUCAGGAGGAACACCGGCGGCGAAGGCGGCCUGCUGGACCGUAACUGACGUUGAGGCUCGAAAGCGUGGGGAGCAAACAGG
Molecule: ribosomal RNA, 404 nt
Filed under: uncultured bacterium
Lineage: Bacteria
Description: bacterial SSU rRNA
Rfam family: Bacterial small subunit ribosomal RNA
Source: RNAcentral